Molecule: ribosomal RNA, 1530 nt
Filed under: Klebsiella pneumoniae
Lineage: Bacteria; Pseudomonadati; Pseudomonadota; Gammaproteobacteria; Enterobacterales; Enterobacteriaceae
Description: bacterial SSU rRNA
Rfam family: Bacterial small subunit ribosomal RNA
Source: RNAcentral
AAAUUGAAGAGUUUGAUCAUGGCUCAGAUUGAACGCUGGCGGCAGGCCUAACACAUGCAAGUCGAGCGGUAGCACAGAGAGCUUGCUCUCGGGUGACGAGCGGCGGACGGGUGAGUAAUGUCUGGGAAACUGCCUGAUGGAGGGGGAUAACUACUGGAAACGGUAGCUAAUACCGCAUAAUGUCGCAAGACCAAAGUGGGGGACCUUCGGGCCUCAUGCCAUCAGAUGUGCCCAGAUGGGAUUAGCUAGUAGGUGGGGUAAUGGCUCACCUAGGCGACGAUCCCUAGCUGGUCUGAGAGGAUGACCAGCCACACUGGAACUGAGACACGGUCCAGACUCCUACGGGAGGCAGCAGUGGGGAAUAUUGCACAAUGGGCGCAAGCCUGAUGCAGCCAUGCCGCGUGUGUGAAGAAGGCCUUCGGGUUGUAAAGCACUUUCAGCGGGGAGGAAGGCGAUAAGGUUAAUAACCUUGGCGAUUGACGUUACCCGCAGAAGAAGCACCGGCUAACUCCGUGCCAGCAGCCGCGGUAAUACGGAGGGUGCAAGCGUUAAUCGGAAUUACUGGGCGUAAAGCGCACGCAGGCGGUCUGUCAAGUCGGAUGUGAAAUCCCCGGGCUCAACCUGGGAACUGCAUUCGAAACUGGCAGGCUAGAGUCUUGUAGAGGGGGGUAGAAUUCCAGGUGUAGCGGUGAAAUGCGUAGAGAUCUGGAGGAAUACCGGUGGCGAAGGCGGCCCCCUGGACAAAGACUGACGCUCAGGUGCGAAAGCGUGGGGAGCAAACAGGAUUAGAUACCCUGGUAGUCCACGCCGUAAACGAUGUCGAUUUGGAGGUUGUGCCCUUGAGGCGUGGCUUCCGGAGCUAACGCGUUAAAUCGACCGCCUGGGGAGUACGGCCGCAAGGUUAAAACUCAAAUGAAUUGACGGGGGCCCGCACAAGCGGUGGAGCAUGUGGUUUAAUUCGAUGCAACGCGAAGAACCUUACCUGGUCUUGACAUCCACAGAACUUUCCAGAGAUGGAUUGGUGCCUUCGGGAACUGUGAGACAGGUGCUGCAUGGCUGUCGUCAGCUCGUGUUGUGAAAUGUUGGGUUAAGUCCCGCAACGAGCGCAACCCUUAUCCUUUGUUGCCAGCGGUUAGGCCGGGAACUCAAAGGAGACUGCCAGUGAUAAACUGGAGGAAGGUGGGGAUGACGUCAAGUCAUCAUGGCCCUUACGACCAGGGCUACACACGUGCUACAAUGGCAUAUACAAAGAGAAGCGACCUCGCGAGAGCAAGCGGACCUCAUAAAGUAUGUCGUAGUCCGGAUUGGAGUCUGCAACUCGACUCCAUGAAGUCGGAAUCGCUAGUAAUCGUAGAUCAGAAUGCUACGGUGAAUACGUUCCCGGGCCUUGUACACACCGCCCGUCACACCAUGGGAGUGGGUUGCAAAAGAAGUAGGUAGCUUAACCUUCGGGAGGGCGCUUACCACUUUGUGAUUCAUGACUGGGGUGAAGUCGUAACAAGGUAACCGUAGGGGAACCUGCGGUUGGAU